This 1277-nucleotide unclassified non-coding RNA is filed under the name Hevea brasiliensis (rubber tree). Lineage: Eukaryota; Viridiplantae; Streptophyta; Magnoliopsida; Malpighiales; Euphorbiaceae. The record is from RNAcentral.
GGGUUCAUCGGAAAUGCACCAUAGCCUGGAUGGGGAAUAUAAUUAUGAUGUGGCAUCGCAUUGUGAGGACUAGCUGCAUCAAACUUCUUUUCAGUCUGAGGCUUUGCAAGAACUACUUCUAACAUCUGACCAUUUACUUCAUAUGUUUCAGUGUCUUUGACAGCUUUCAGAGCGCUUGACCUUUCUGCAUAAUGGACAAAUCCAAAGUCUCGUUUACCACCAACCUUGGCUGGUGGCAUAACAACUCUGGUAACUUCACCAUGGCGUUGGAACAAUUCCUUCAAUUGUUCAGUAGGAGUGUUUUCUGGAAUGUUCUUCACAUAGAGUGCUUUGACCUGAGCAGCGGCAGAAGAAUGAUCAGGUGUAAUCUUCGGAUCAGCCCAGGUGACAGUUGGUGAAUUUCCCUCCAGCUUAAAGUUUGUACUUACCAUUUUUCUCCGAGAGUAAUCCGCACAGGCAUUAUUGUAAUAUUCAACAAAAGCAAAACCCCUAUUACGUGCUGGGUUUUGAGGAUCCUUUAUGAGUUCUAUUAAUUCUGCACCAGGACCAGUCCCAUCAAUGACUUUUCUGAAGUCAUCAUCAGACCAGCUCUUUGGUACAUUACCAAUGAACAAUCUGUAUUUAGUUUCUGACAGCGAACACCUUAAGGUUUUUCCCUUAUAUUCUUUGUUAUGCAAUUCUUCAAUAGUCUUUUGUGCCUCAUCUUUUGUUUUGAAUGCUACAAAGGCAAAACCCUUGCUUUCACCAGUAUCCCUAUUUCUCAUGACUCUGACCUCAUGUAUUUCACCGAGUGGUUCACAGAGAUCCCUCAAGUCUUCUUCAGAAACAUCUCGAGGAAUACCACCAAUAAAAACCUCAGACCCAUGUGGAGGGAGAGCUAGAAGUUCAGCAUGCUCUUUUUGUUCCUCUUCAGAAAGAGAAGCACUAGGCUUUUCUUCAUCUGCAGCAGGCUCCGAAACAUCACCCAUAUCUGCCUCUGGAGACUGCUCUCUCCCACUGUCUCCACCUCCAGAAUCAUAUGAUUGUUCUUCGCCAUUUUCAUCACCGACUUCUCCAGCUCCUUCAUCUUCUACCAGUUCUGCAUCUGCAUCUUCCUCUUCCUCAGAGUAAUUUUCAUCGUCAAGAUCCACACGGUCAUCAAUUUCAGUAUUCUCUGCCAUGACUGUUUCGUGUUGCAGAUUUUCUCAUACAACAAAUAAACAGGCCCAAAAUUAGACAAGUUUUUUGCUUAUCUGUGUUGUGUUUCUGCUUCUUUAGGAGGAGAGAGUUUGAAGGCG